This 253-nucleotide ribosomal RNA is filed under the name uncultured bacterium. RNAcentral's name for it is "partial 16S ribosomal RNA". It matches the Rfam family "Bacterial small subunit ribosomal RNA", at positions 524 to 776 of the family's 1533-position model. The record is from RNAcentral.
UACGGAGGAUCCAAGCGUUAUCCGGAUUUAUUGGGUUUAAAGGGUGCGUAGGCGGCUUAUUAAGUCAGCGGUGAAAUUCCACAGCUCAACUGUGGAACUGCCAUUGAUACUGGUUGGCUUGAGUACAGAUGAGGUAGGCGGAAUUGACAGUGUAGCGGUGAAAUGCUUAGAUAUUGUCAAGAACACCUAUUGCGAAGGCAGCUUACUAAGCUGUAACUGACGCUGAGGCACGAAAGCGUGGGGAUCAAACAGG